This is a long non-coding RNA of Gambusia affinis (western mosquitofish), 459 nucleotides long. RefSeq lists it as uncharacterized. The record is from RefSeq and is a predicted model, not a curated record. The transcript is spliced from 3 exons. Lineage: Eukaryota; Metazoa; Chordata; Actinopteri; Cyprinodontiformes; Poeciliidae.
CUGUUGGUGAAGGCUAGACCUGUCCGAGCUCACAGCUUUCCUCUUCCGGUCGACGUUUAUUCGCGGUCUGUGAAGGAUCCAUCCUACAUAGUCGUGUCCUUCGAAGGAUGCAGACCCUGAAUUCAGACACAGCUCCUGUGAAAUAUUUAACACAUCCACGUUUCCAGGAAACCAGCAGAAGCAGAAAGGUUCAAAUACAAACAAGCAGACCGGAGACCGUCCCAAAAGCAUGCUUCUGAGUGCAGCGCCCCUACAGGCGAGGAGGGGAACAGGUUGGUUUGACUGAGAGCAGAAAGAAAAGAACCACAGCAGCUGGAGAUCCCUCUGACCUGACCUAACUGGAGGACUGCAGCUCUAUAGAAACACCCUAGAUCACAAAGAGUCCAGCUGAAGGAACCAGAGAUUCCCAGAAUAAUCCCAGAGAGUCUGUUGCUGCCAGGCGGCGUUCUGGACUCACCU